Molecule: microRNA precursor, 77 nt
Filed under: Myotis brandtii (Brandt's bat)
Lineage: Eukaryota; Metazoa; Chordata; Mammalia; Chiroptera; Vespertilionidae
Description: mir-9193 microRNA precursor family
Rfam family: mir-9193 microRNA precursor family
Source: Rfam by way of RNAcentral
CUCGGGGGAGGGGGGGUCCCUCAGCCUGGAUUGCGAGAGGGCACAGGCCAGGCCGAGGUACCCCGCCGGUGAUCGGG